Molecule: long non-coding RNA, 1098 nt
Organism: Monopterus albus (swamp eel)
Lineage: Eukaryota; Metazoa; Chordata; Actinopteri; Synbranchiformes; Synbranchidae
Exons: 3
Source: RefSeq, a predicted model, not a curated record
UGUCUGUCUGCUCUGCAGGUUUUCAUACUGAGAUGACCUUGUAGGGUCCAGUGAAUGAUAAAAAAAAAAAAAAAAUCAUCAGUCUUCACUUAAAUGUGGUGCUCAAUACAAGAGGGUGGUUGUAUGAACUGGGAGUCUGCAAUUGCACAGGUUCAAUGGGGUUAAAGGCUACCUGAUGCAAAAGCUGUCGAAACCUAACGAGCUGCACCCUGCACUUUUUACCAUCACCCGGCAUAACGGGUUGAAGCAGACCGUCCUACUUUGUUUUUCUACUGUAUUUUUCCCUGUGUCAGUCUCUGUUUAGAGCUGAGCAGAGGAUGUGAUGGAUAACUUCACAGCGCAACAGCCAGCCAGUAACAGAGAGUGUAUGAGCAGUUUAUGAAACAGCUGUUGGACAAGCAGAACACAAAUUUGCAGAACUGUGAUGUCUUCACUGCUUUGCCUGUGGUCCACUCACUGAAGUCCCCAUUUUUCCCCUAAAUCAAUGAGUUAAGUUCUCAAUCAUUUUACCUCUAAGCCAGCUGGUGUGUGUGUUUCCACACUGUGUUUGUAAAGCUGUGUGUAGAGAUGCUGACAUUUAACUAAUCAUGAACAGCAGCUCUGCACCCACUGCCUCUGGGGGCAGUAGAAACAAACACAGAACGGAGCAAACAGUGUGAUUAUUUGUAGUUUAGAAUUAGGAAUUGGAUUAUUUAAAAAAACACAUUUAAGUGCAUAUCUUUAUUUCUAAUCUCUCUUAAUUUCUUUAAGUGUCUCUCAGAUAUUGUGGUCAGUGUUGAGGCUGUUUGUGGAAGCAUUUGGUUGUCCAGCAACAUAUCUGAGAUCAGGCCCAGGGCAGUUAAGGGACCUGGGUGAACACAAGGAGACCUGAUCAGCUGACGACACACCCUGAGGCACACCCUGUUUUGGUCUCAUGCCCUCUUAUGGGCACUGGCAGGGCAUUAACCUAUGCUGAUUAGGAAUGACCAACACAUACUUUCAUCUUACAAACACAUGGAGUUCAUCAGUAUAAGAACACAGCCCUGCAGCAGAUGGAUGUCAACCCUGUCAUUCCUUACCAACCAUAUUCAGCACUGCGUGUACAGUGUGUCCAUACCA